UACGAAGGGGGCUAGCGUUGUUCGGAAUUACUGGGCGUAAAGCGCGCGUAGGCGGACAUUUAAGUCAGGGGUGAAAUCCCGGGGCUCAACCCCGGAACUGCCUCUGAUACUGGGUGUCUAGAGUUCGGAAGAGGUAAGUGGAAUUGCGAGUGUAGAGGUGAAAUUCGUAGAUAUUCGGCGGAACACCAGUGGCGAAGGCGACUCACUGGCCCGAUACUGACGCUGAGGCGCGAAAGCGUGGGGAGCAAACAGG
RNAcentral lists this ribosomal RNA (253 nucleotides) under uncultured bacterium. RNAcentral's name for it is "partial 16S ribosomal RNA". It matches the Rfam family "Bacterial small subunit ribosomal RNA", at positions 524 to 776 of the family's 1533-position model. The record is from RNAcentral.